GGACCCCUCUUUAAGAAAAAGUUGUUUAAAAUAUGAUGUAACUCUCCUCUUUUUGAGUACAAAAUUCUAAGUUUUCUUACUAUACAAAUCCUUGGUAUUUCUAUUUUCUUUUCUACAUAAGUAAAAUGACCCCUUGUCUGAGGGAGGGCUGUUCUCAACCUGGUAAUAACAAACACAGGUCAUAGUACGGGUUUUUACACAGGGCUUUG
This 209-nucleotide long non-coding RNA is filed under the name Mytilus galloprovincialis (Mediterranean mussel). Lineage: Eukaryota; Metazoa; Mollusca; Bivalvia; Mytilida; Mytilidae. The record is from RNAcentral.